RNAcentral lists this long non-coding RNA (6361 nucleotides) under Medicago truncatula (barrel medic). RNAcentral's name for it is "long non-coding RNA (MTRU_LNC005199)". The record is from RNAcentral. Lineage: Eukaryota; Viridiplantae; Streptophyta; Magnoliopsida; Fabales; Fabaceae.
UUGUAUAUAUCAUAUGCAGGCUAUCAUCAAGACAACAAGAUUAAGGAAUAGUGUCAACAUGUUUAAUCAUGAGAAUAAAUUGUAUAAUUAUUAUCUCACCUAUGUUAUGGUGGCGUUUCUAAAAGUUUGUAGAAUUAUUGUUAUGUUUAAAUUGGGUUGUAAGACUUUGAUAUUAUGAUAUCAAGUUUGGGGUUAAUAACAUGGUCUUGACUUAUUUUGUUGGGUAUAGAAUAAUUGUAAGGCUCUAAGAAGCCGAAAUAUUUUAUUUUAAAUUAUGAUGUCGUGUUAUUAUUAGUGGUGUGGAUGUGAUAUUUUAUAAAAUAUCAAAUCUAUUUAUUUUACGAAAACAAUUAUUAUUAGUUUUAAAUGUCUUUUAUUUGGUUUUUUCUACUCUCAAUUUAAAAACUUAAAUAUUUUUUAGAUAAUUUCUAUAAGGGAGUUGCUAACUUACACCCACCUAAAAAUACUAAGGUGCAAGUUAGCAAGUUACGCCCACCUAAAAUUAUUAAGGUGCAAGUUAGCAACCUACAUCCACUUGAUUAUUUACACUCAUUUUGAUAAAUUUUAACAAAUAUUUUACACCAACCUCACUAACUUACACCCACUUUCAUAAUUCCAAAUAAUGUUUUUGUCUUGAUUUUUUUUAAUGUUUUUAAAGCAUAUAGAUUUAUAUGUAUUUUGUUUCCUUGAAACUGUUUUUUUUUUACUAUUCAAUCUGCUGAUCCUUUUUCAUGCAUAAAAAUAUUUUUUUCCUAUUAAAUCUAUUGACCUCCUUCUUUUUCUUAUUAAAAUGAACAAUUUUUCUAAAGGCAAUUAUGUUUUUUUUUUUUAAUGAAAAGGCAAUCAGGCUUGUUCUCUUAAGCAAAUCUUUUGUUUAAAAAAAAAAGAAGUUGUUCUUAAUGUUAUAAUUGUAUGAGGGAAGCGAGUAGAUCUGUUCUUAUAAACAAAAAUGAACAAUAUUGUUAAAUUGACACAACUGCCCUUUAACUUCAAAUGACUUAUAAUAAUGGAGAUUGGUUGUUUUGUAAAAAAUAAGUUGGUGUAGCUUGCUAACUUGCACCUUAGUGUUUUUAGGUGGGUGUAAGUUAGCAACCCCCUUUCUAUAAUACUUAUUUUAUAAUUUAGGAUUUUAUGCAUUAUAUAUAAUAUAUGUUGGAAGAUUAUCAUGUUUAGUUACUUGGCCUAGCGGUAAAUGCUUCAUUACCCUGCAAUGCGUCUUGGGUUCAACACCCUCUACUCCCGUUGGUAAAAUGGACACUUCUAAACCAUUUUGUUGUUGCAUUUAUUUUGUCACAAGUUAGCUUUAUAAGUUGUUUGGGCUCCAGUGGCAAGGAGCUCCUUCAAGGACGUACCCAGGGAAUAUCCAGUUCGAUUUCCAGGGGGAACAACGCUUGGCCAGUGUGCAUGCCUCUACACACGAGCCGGAUUAGUCGUCCAUCUUUGGUGGGUCAGAAACCUGUGCAAAAGCCAAAUAUAUAUAUAUAUAUAUAUAUAUAUAUAUACUUUCUUCAAAGUUUUGUCUCACCUGUAUCGAAAGUCUGGGUCUGCCUCUGGGUAGUGCAUACACUAUUUUGUUUAAUAUUUAACUGUGUGCAUAACGACUCCCAAUAUUUUUGUGGAAAACUUAUUGUUUCGUUUCCCCAUUCAGAAACUUUGAUUGCGUGGAAAUAUUGAGUUAGGAAAGAUCGCUUCAACUCAUCCUACAUUCAUAUGGCAUUAGGAGGAGGCAUAGGAAAAAUCUAAAACCAAGCUCCAAGGGAAAAGGGGAAAAGUCUAGCCUCAAGUAAUCAUUAGUCACUCCAUCUAUUUUUAUAGUAUCACAACAUUUCGAGAAAAAUUUAUAGAUGAAAAUUUUGAUCAUCCAUUUGAAAACCAGAGAAUAGACAUUCUUUUUGCAAAAAUAUCCUUAAAUUAUGUUUUAUUUAAAAAUGUGCCACCAUAAUAAAAUAAAGGUUAAACUGCACUUUUCGAUCCCUAAGUUUUAAAAUGUUGCGAUUUUGGCCUCUAUUAAAAAAAAUUACAAAUUAGAAAUGUUGAAUUUUGAAAUGUUGAAUGUAAAUAGAAAUGUUGACUGUAAAUAGAAAUAGAAAUGUUGACUGUAAAUAAAAAUCACAAAUUACACGAACCAGGAGAAAUGUUGAAUUUUGAAAAUAAAUGAUCAAAUAAAUUCAAAACUAUUAUGAAUCGAUUCAUUUUUCAUUAGGAUGACGAUAAAUCAAUUAAUUCGUUUUUGAACUUGUGAAUCUAUUAACUAAAGGAGUGAAUUAAUUAAUACAACAUUUUUUCGCUACUUUUCAACUUUCAUUUUUUCUGAAAUCCUCCAAUGAUAAAUACAUGUUCCCACAAAUUUUCCAUUCAUUGAAAACACAUUCUCUAUACACUAUCUCAUACUAAAACACUCUCAUUAAAAGAAAAAGGCUAAACUGAAUAUUUGGCCCCUUAAUUUAUUUGUUGUUUUCAUAUUGAUCACAUAACUAAUUAACGUUACAUUUUUGUCCCUCAAGUUAGUCUCUGCCAAUGGUUGUCAUUUCGGAAAAAAAAUCAAACGGUUAAUAUUAAACAAAUUAAUGAGGUCUUUGACAGAGGAUAACUUGGUUUCCACUAAUACAAACAUUUUUGUGAUAAUAUUGGUUUCCCUCUCUCUAUUAUGAAAUAAUAAUAAUAAUAAUAAUAAUAAUAAUAAUGAAAAGUUGGUAAACGACAAUGAACUCUAAUUACAAGUAAAAUAUUUUUUUGAGAUUUACUCUAUGAGCUAAAGGGGCAAAUAUGAUUCAUCAAUGUACUUUAGGGACAUUUAAAAAUUAUUCUAACUUUAAAGGAUUUCUUGCAACAACAUAAUUAAAAUAAACUAUUUAAUUGAUGUAAACAUAACAAGAGGAUUUUUACUAUAUUUGUAAAGAAAAGAGGUUUUUUUACUAUAUAUAGUGAUCAAACCAAUUUCUAUUUGUUACAUGCAAAGGUGAAAAAAUGGUUGAAACUCUCAGGUUGUUUUAUAUUAUGAUUCUCUUUGUUUCCCUAUAUCUUGUUGUAGUUGAUGGAGUAAGUAAGUUAGCGCAAAGUUGUAGUGAGGACUUUGAGUGUUAUAUAAAAAAUCCGCAUGCUCCUUUUGGACAACUGAGGUGUUUUGAAGGUUAUUGCCAACGUUUGGACAAGCCUACAUAGUUAAGGUUAUUUUUUUCUCUAUUAUGUAUAUGAUUUUCAUUUAGUUUCUCUUCAUAAUGUUGUUUCUCUUACAUUUGUAUAUAUUUCUCUAACCUUGCAAUUUAAUUAAUAGCCUAUAAAAGAUAAGCAUGUUAAAUAUAUUAUUAAAUUUUUAUCUUUGUUUUCUUGGGAAUGAAGUAGAGAUGUUUUAUGGAUAAUAUGACCUAGGUUCUUGAUAUAUAAUCUAAUAAAAUUCAAAUUGAUAUAAUGACAAGUGAGAAAAGUAAAUUGUUGAAUUUUAUAUUUAAAGGUGUUAUCUUGAGGAUAUUUUGAUAAAUUUACCAACUAAUCACCUAAUAAUACCGUCAUUGUGAGAAUGUGAGAUGCCCUAACAUCCAAAGUUGAAACCUAAGUAAAUAACCUAUAUGUCAGUUGUAUUUGGCCGUUGACAAAGUUAAAAUUAAUGAUGAUUUCAUUUUAUAGAGCAUACGAAAAAUAAAAGAGGAAAUACAAACAUAUUGUACUAUUUGACCAGAUAAAGAAAGAUAAAAUAUGUCAUGCUAAAUGUAAAUUAACGAAAGAAACAACUCAAAAAUCAAUUAAUUGAAGAUCUGAUAUGUGAUAUUUUGUAGCAUUUGUAUAUUAAUUGAUCAUCAUGUAUAUAGUUGAGCUUUGAUCCUAACAUGAGUAAUAUAGUCAUUAUUAGUAUUAUUAUUAUUAUUAUCAUAAUUUAUUUAGUUUGUUUUUGUAACAUUUCUAUACUAAUUCCCAUAAAAAAAAAAUCUAUAAAUCAUAAUGUAUUUAGAGUAGAUUUUCUUCACAUACAAACUAAAAAGUUUUAAAGUCUUUAUCAUUUUCAUUUAGGCACAAUACCAUUGUUUUUGAAAUAUACCAAUUUAUAAGUUUGUACAUGUUGCAUAUGUAGUUUAGAGAAUUCAUUAGACAUAUUAAUUUUUUAAAAGAAAUUAAUGUAAAAUUAAUCUUAAUUGUAGGCAAGAAACCUCAUCAUUUUAGAUGUGUAAAAGUACAUAUGUCCCAAACUUUAAAAAAAAAAAUAUGGUCGCUUCAGCGAUAUACCUACUUACACAGAUAAGAAUGAUAAAUUCAACACUUUAAAUUGUUGAUAUAUAUAAGGUAUAUAAUGAUAACAUAUAGAGGUUAGGUUGAGAGAAUAUAAGACCUACUAAGAAAUCCCAAAUAAUUUUCAAUAGAAUCCUUAUGUAGCUCACGUGACGUCCUGGAAUCCCUAAUUAAAAGUGAGAACGCGAUUUGGUCAUUAAAGUGACUACGGAAAGAUGGAAUGAAUUUGGAAACAACAAAUUUAUAUAUUAUAUUUAACUUAACAAUACCUUUCCAAAAAAAAAAUAUCAUUGUUAGGCUCCAAGAUCUAAACCCUAUCUCAUAUCGAGAUGUCAGGAGCACCUCGAUCAUAAUUAUAUUUAUGUGGAUAGGAGCAUUUGGGUAAAACCAAAAAAAUAUAGAGAGGCAUAAAGGUGAGAAAAACACAAAAAAGGUAGGUUGAAGUGUGUUGAAUUUUUAUGAAAAAUAUUUUCUAAAUUAAAAACAAAUCAACAUGAUCAGAGUUUAUAGUAAAAAUUGAUGUUUGUUUACAUUUUUGAGUCAAAUAGUGGUAAACUAAAAUAAGCACAAAGUAAUUCUAAACACUUAAAAAAUUCUAGGAUGACAGUUUGUAAGAAUUUUUUUAAGUGUUUUUGCACUAGAAAUUUUGUCAGAGUUUUGGCACAAUUGAAAGCACUUAAUUGUUUCUCUUUCUUCAAACGCUCAAUGUAAUUUUAUAAGAGAUUUGAAUAGAGCCAUUGUUUGAAGAUAUUUCCAGCACAUCAAGAGCUAUCUUCAUAAUUAAAAUCUUUUCCUCUGAGGGAUAAUUUCGUUGAACACUACUUUAGAAUUUCUUUGCUUCUUUAAGAAUGAUAUGUUGCAUCCACUUUGUCUUAUAAGAGCUUUAUCCGCUUCUACAACGUGUCUUCAUUUAACUCAACAUGACAAAACAUACUACUAAACAUGGAUAAUGACAUUUCUUCAAAAUAAGACAAGACUGGUCAGCUGUUCUUCAGAGCGCUGAGCGUUGACUUUAUCCUUCAGAUUUUCGUCUUCAUACCAAAGUUUGUCUUACUAACUUGAUCCAUAUUUGAUCAGAGCUUUGGAUUUUUAUUUACCAACUUCAAAUCAGAUCUUUGUCAUCAAAACUUUAUCUUGGGUACCAAAUAUGUCUACCUUGUAGAACCAAGAUGGAAUUAUUUUCUUCAGAAUUUAGUGUUUUCAGAGUCAAAAUAUUGACUUCAGAGUCAGAAUGUAAUUCUAUGUUCCUGCAUACUACAACAAAAUUUAGGGUAUCCAAUUGUUCUUUUAUACAUUGUCAGCAUCAAAACCUUAGAGACAUUAUUCUAAAACUUAUUUUGGUUCAACAAGGCAGAGAGACAUUGUGAGAAUUUAUAAAAAGAGAGAGAAAAACUAAUUGAAUGUUGAAUGGCUAUUGGGAUUUAUUACCUCGUGAUGUUAUGGUGUAUCGAUAAAUCUUGGUAAUGCAGACUAGUCUCUUAAUAAAAUCAUAGUAGUGAAAGUGUUUUGCACUAAAAUUCAUUGAGAGGGAUGUUAUUCUUAUAUGAUAGUCGAUUUCCUCCUAUGCUACUUUCUUGAGCUUGAGUUAUUUGUAAGACAUGUAUAAGGAGUAUAGGUGCAUGAAUAUUGCAUUUGAUGUAUAUAUCUUGUCAUAUCUUGUAUAGUUAUAUGUCCACCUUAGAUGUUUUUGUGUUUUGUAUGUAUCUUUUUAUGUUUGUUUCUAAUUGAGUGACUUGGAACUUAUAUCACCCCAAUGUUUUCUAACUAUUUAUCUUGUAUAAAUUAUAUGCAGGCUAUAAUCAAGAUAAGAUUGAGGAAUAAUAUCGAAGUGUUUAUUCAUGAGAAUAAAUUGGAUAAUUAUUAUCUCACAUAUGUUAUGGUGUUCCUGAAAGUUUAGAAUUAUUGUUUAUGAUUAAAGUGGGUUAUAAGACUUUGAUAUUAUGAUAUCAAGUUUGGGGUUAAUAAUAUGGUUUUGACUUAUUUUGUUGGAUAUAGAACAAAUAUUAAAUGUGAUUUUAUUAUAAGAAUAAUCGUAAGGUUUUAAGAAAUUGAUAUAUUUUAUUUUAAAUUAUGAUGUUCUGUUAUUAUUAGUGGUGUAGAUGUGAUAUCUUAUACAGUAUAAAAAUUUAUUUAUUUUACG